GAUGAACGCUGGCGGCGUGCUUAACACAUGCAAGUCGAACGAAGCACUUUUGACAGAUUCUUCGGAUGAUGGAUUUAGUGACUGAGUGGCGGACGGGUGAGUAACGCGUGGGUAACCUGCCUCAUACAGGGGGAUAACAGUUAGAAAUGACUGCUAAUACCGCAUAAGCGCACAGUACCGCAUGGUACCGUGUGAAAAAACUCCGGUGGUAUGAGAUGGACCCGCGUCUGAUUAGCUAGUUGGAAGGGUAACGGCCUACCAAGGCGACGAUCAGUAGCCGGCCUGAGAGGGUGAACGGCCACAUUGGGACUGAGACACGGCCCAAACUCCUACGGGAGGCAGCAGUGGGGGAUAUUGCACAAUGGAGGAAACUCUGAUGCAGCAACGCCGCGUGAGGGAAGAAGGUUUUCGGAUUGUAAACCUCUGUUUUUAGUGAAGAAACAAAUGACGGUAGCUAAAGAGGAAGCCACGGCUAACUACGUG
This 483-nucleotide ribosomal RNA is filed under the name uncultured bacterium. RNAcentral describes it as "bacterial SSU rRNA". It matches the Rfam family "Bacterial small subunit ribosomal RNA", at positions 28 to 507 of the family's 1533-position model. The record is from RNAcentral.